Molecule: ribosomal RNA, 253 nt
Filed under: uncultured bacterium
Lineage: Bacteria
Description: partial 16S ribosomal RNA
Rfam family: Bacterial small subunit ribosomal RNA
Source: RNAcentral
UACGUAGGGGGCGAGCGUUGUCCGGAGUUACUGGGCGUAAAGCGCACGUAGGCGGCUUUGUAAGUUAGAGGUGAAAGCCCGGGGCUCAACUCCGGAAUUGCCUUUAAGACUGCAUCGCUCGAAUUGUGGAGAGGUAAGUGGAAUUCCGAGUGUAGAGGUGAAAUUCGUAGAUAUUCGGAAGAACACCAGUGGCGAAGGCGACUUACUGGACACAUAUUGACGCUGAGGUGCGAAAGCCAGGGGAGCGAACGGG